Molecule: ribosomal RNA, 390 nt
Filed under: fungal sp.
Lineage: Eukaryota; Fungi
Description: SSU rRNA
Rfam family: Eukaryotic small subunit ribosomal RNA
Source: RNAcentral
CCGUGGUCUUUUAUUUCGUUGGUUUCCAGGGGCCGCGGUAAUGACCGAUAGGAACAGUCGGGGGCAUUCGUAUUUCCCAGCUAGAGGUGAAAUUCUUGGAUUUGGGAAAGACGAACUUAUGCGAAAGCAUUUGCCAAGGAUGUUUUCAUUGAUCAAGAACGAAAGUUAGGGGAUCGAAGAUGAUUAGAUACCGUCGUAGUCUUAACCAUAAACGAUGCCGACUAGGGAUCGGGCAAUGUUGUUUUUUGACUUGCCCGGCACCUUCCGAGAAAUCAAAGUGUUUGGGUUCCGGGGGGAGUAUGGUCGCAAGGCUGAAACUUAAAGGAAUUGACGGAAGGGCACCACCAGGAGUGGAGCCUGCGGCUUAAUUUGACUCAACACGGGGAAACU